RNAcentral lists this ribosomal RNA (301 nucleotides) under uncultured bacterium. RNAcentral describes it as "partial 16S ribosomal RNA". It matches the Rfam family "Bacterial small subunit ribosomal RNA", at positions 509 to 809 of the family's 1533-position model. The record is from RNAcentral.
CAGCCGCCACGGGAAUACGUAGGGUGCGAGCGUUAAUCGGAAUUACUGGGCGUAAAGGGCUCGCAGGCGGUUUCUUAAGUCUGAUGUGAAAGCCCCCGGCUCAACCGGGGAGGGUCAUUGGAAACUGGGAAACUUGAGUGCAGAAGAGGAGAGUGGAAUUCCACGUGUAGCGGUGAAAUGCGUAGAGAUGUGGAGGAACACCAGUGGCGAAGGCGACUCUCUGGUCUGUAACUGACGCUGAGGAGCGAAAGCGUGGGGAGCGAACAGGAUUAGAUACCCCUGUAGUCCCUGUCUCUUAUAA